Molecule: transfer RNA, 71 nt
Filed under: Loxodonta africana (African savanna elephant)
Lineage: Eukaryota; Metazoa; Chordata; Mammalia; Proboscidea; Elephantidae
Rfam family: tRNA
About the family: Transfer RNA (tRNA) molecules are approximately 80 nucleotides in length. Their secondary structure includes four short double-helical elements and three loops (D, anti-codon, and T loops).
Source: Rfam by way of RNAcentral
GCGUUGGUGGUUCAGAGGUAGAAUUCUCACCUUCCACGUGGGAGGCCUGGGUUUGAUUCUCAGCCAACGCA